UACGUAGGGUGCAAGCGUUAAUCGGAAUUACUGGGCGUAAAGCGUGCGCAGGCGGUUUUGUAAGUCAGAUGUGAAAUCCCCGGGCUUAACCUGGGAACUGCGUUUGAAACUACAAGGCUAGAGUGUGGCAGAGGGGGGUGGAAUUCCACGUGUAGCAGUGAAAUGCGUAGAGAUGUGGAGGAACACCGAUGGCGAAGGCAGCCCCCUGGGUUAACACUGACGCUCAGGCACGAAAGCGUGGGGAGCAAACAG
This 252-nucleotide ribosomal RNA is filed under the name uncultured bacterium. Its description in RNAcentral is "partial 16S ribosomal RNA". It matches the Rfam family "Bacterial small subunit ribosomal RNA", at positions 524 to 775 of the family's 1533-position model. The record is from RNAcentral.